UUACAGACUCUUGGCAGUAACUAAUACACCUGUAGCAAAAGUGGUUGAAGUUCCUUGGGCUACUCUGUUGAAAUAGGAACUUCUAGUUAAGACCAUGUCUUCUUUGUUCACCAUUGAACAGUACUCAGCUAAGCACAGGGCACGUAUUGAGUACUCAACCAGUAUGUGAGGAAAGACUGGUUAGAGGUAUAAAUGAAUGAAUGAAUGUUGCCAUCCCAUUAUUGAUGCUCUCCAAACUCUUCACUACAAAUGGAGUCAGUUCCAGAAUCCAAAGCCAGCAUUCUUCUCCUGAUUAUGACAUGCACCAAAGAGGCAUCCCCUGAGCUGGAUGUUUAAAUCAGAGCCCACAGCUGAAGUGAGCACCAAGAUGUACUGAGCAAGUGUGGACUCUUACUGAUCCAAGUGGUGAGGCUCUUACAAUGGGCAAGGGCAGAGGGCAUGCGAUAUGUAGGUAACUAUUGUUAGCAUUCCUGAAUCUUCUCCUGUUCUUUAGGCAGCAGCAGCUUCAAGGGUGAACUGUUGCUCAGCAGAGAAAUGGCAGGAAAAAAUAGGACAUUCGCUUCUGGCCUUAGUCCUGUUGGAACACAAAAAGUGGAGUCUGCAAUGCUGUUGGAGGCUCAACAGGUCAAAUACAUCAGUAAUGGGCAUGGUAUGGCUGGGGUCAUACGGAGACAGUCCUUAGAGCACUGAAAAUGUGAUCAUCCUGAAUCCCAUAAGGAUCCUUAUGAGGUUAGAAGGGACAAUGUGGCUCCACUUUGAUGACUGACAGCAGUUGCUUUGGUUCUUCCCCAAACCAUCAUGGACCAGUUGGACUCUGAGAAGAAAAGUUUCUGAUCUUUAGUUCAUUCUUCCAACUCUCUAGAAAGCAGGAAAACUGAGAAUGAAAAAUUCUAAAUUACUCAGGACUCAUGGGUUGCCAAUAGAAGAAAUACAUCUUAAACUAGCUUAAGCCUGAAAGGGAAAUGUAUUUGUUCAUGUAACUGAACCAUAACGAAGGAUGGUGGACUGAGGGACCUGAAAACACCCUCAGGACUCCCUCCCUCUCCUUUGUGCUCCUGUCUGAUGCCGUCUUCCCAGACCUGCUCACUCUCCAUAAGGUGGGGAUGUGGCCAUCAGCAACGUGUACUUCCCCGAAGCUUGUGACCUGAGUAGAUAGGCAUCUCCCAACCCACAAGGAUUGAAAAGUUCCUCUAGGAAUUAUGUGGAUUGGCCCAUUCACUAUGACAUGUUCCCCCUAAGCAGCUAAAGGAACUGGGUCUGUUACCAGAAGAGGUGGGAGAGGGGUGCUAGGCAGAUUGAACAACAGCCACUACAACAUCUGAGGAGGAGACCUCCGUGAAGGCCACCAAGUCUGCUAGCAGAUAUUUCCUCCCUCGGAUCUCUCUCCCUGUCCUCACAGUCUCAUAAGUGAGGAUUAAAUACUACAUGUGGCCUAGGAGAUCUUAGACCCUCCACACGAAGAUAUAGUAACAAUCAACAUCCUAGUGUUCUGGCAGAGAAAAAAUCAGAAAGAAUCGUUUGCCUGAUUUUUCCAUCAAUACCAAUAAUUAAUUAGAGAUGAAAUUUGUGAUGGACUCAGAGAAUUAGAGAAGAUCUAAGGGAAUCUAGAUGAUUUCCUACCCCUAACCAGAGCCUCACAAAAAAGGGUGAAGAUCUAUGGCCGUCUUGCGUUUGGUGUGAGGCUGGACAAGGAAGUUCCUAAGGUCCUUUAGACUCUGUGAGAUCAUGAGUCCGUAAAACCCUUCCAACUUGAAAUUAGUUGAUUCCUUCCUUAAAUUUUCUGGGACAUUCCCCCACUCCCUCCACUCUUAUUAGCUGAUUUUACUGACCAAUAGGCCUUGAAGUUGGGCGUUCCAUCUAGAUGUCUCACAUCAACUCACCUUUUGCAAAUUAAGCCCAUACCCUUAAAGAGGGGAAUUCUCAAGCCAUUAGAAACUAGAGAGUCAGCUGGGCAUGGUGGCUCACGCCUGUAAUCCCAGAACUUUGGGAGGCCAAGGUGGGUGGAUCACUUGAGGUCAGGAGUUCGAGUCCAGCCUGACCAACAUGGCGAAACCCCGUCUCUACUAAAAAUACAAAAAUUAGCCAGGGGUGAUGGCAUGCACCUGUAAUCCCAGCUACUCAGGAGGCUGAGGCAGGAGAAUUGCUUGAACCUGGGAGGCGGAGGUUGCAGUGAGCCAAGUUUGCACCACAGCACUCCAGCCUGGGCAACAGAGUGAGACUCAGUUUCAAAAAACAAAAGAACAAACAAACAAAAACUAGAGGGUCUCCUCUUAGUUCUUAAACCCUCUUAGUCAACAUUUGUGAGCCUCUUUUCUGUAUGUUUUGGCAUCUUUAUUCCUUUCCUUCGUGUCUUGACCAAAUUCACCAGAUCAUGACUCAGAACAAAAUCCUGAGGUUGAAUAUAGAGGUCUAGAACAUCUUCAAAUUAACUGUUUCUCCUCAUAGAGAAUUAAAGAAAUUGAGAAAGCAAGAGAGAGUGUGUGGAGUUUUUGUCCUC
This 2497-nucleotide long non-coding RNA is filed under the name Homo sapiens (human). Its description in RNAcentral is "HSALNT0372986". Lineage: Eukaryota; Metazoa; Chordata; Mammalia; Primates; Hominidae. The record is from RNAcentral.